Molecule: ribosomal RNA, 890 nt
Filed under: uncultured bacterium
Lineage: Bacteria
Description: bacterial SSU rRNA
Rfam family: Bacterial small subunit ribosomal RNA
Source: RNAcentral
AGAGUUUGAUCAUGGCUCAGGACGAACGCUGGCGGCGUGCCUAACACAUGCAAGUCGAGCGAGAGGAGUUCUUCGGAACAAAUCUAGCGGCGGACGGGUGAGUAACACGUGGGCAACCUACCUUAUAGAGGGGAAUAGCCUUCCGAAAGGAAGAUUAAUACCGCAUAACAUUGCAUUUUCGCAUGAAGAAGCAAUUAAAGGAGCAAUCCGCUAUAAGAUGGGCCCGCGGCGCAUUAGCUAGUUGGUGAGGUAACGGCUCACCAAGGCGACGAUGCGUAGCCGACCUGAGAGGGUGAUCGGCCACAUUGGGACUGAGACACGGCCCAGACUCCUACGGGAGGCAGCAGUGGGGAAUAUUGCACAAUGGGGGAAACCCUGAUGCAGCAACGCCGCGUGAGUGAUGAAGGUUUUCGGAUCGUAAAACUCUGUCUUUGGGGACGAUAAUGACGGUACCCAAGGAGGAAGCCACGGCUAACUACGUGCCAGCAGCCGCGGUAAUACGUAGGUGGCAAGCGUUGUCCGGAUUUACUGGGCGUAAAGGGAGCGUAGGUGGAUUUUUAAGUGAGAUGUGAAAUACUCGGGCUCAACCCGAGAACUGCAUUUCAAACUGGAAGUCUAGAGUGCAGGAGAGGAAAGUGGAAUUCCUAGUGUAGCGGUGAAAUGCGUAGAUAUUAGGAAGAACACCAGUGGCGAAGGCGACUUUCUGGACUGUAACUGACACUGAGGCUCGAAAGCGUGGGGAGCAAACAGGAUUAGAUACCCGGUAGUCCACGCCGUAAACGAUGAAUACUAGGUGUGGGAGUUGUCAUGACUUCCGUGCCGCCGCUAACGCAUUAAGUAUUCCGCCUGGGGAGUACGGUCGCAAGAUUAAAACUCAAAGGAAUUGACGG